UACCGGGGGGAGGGGACCCCGCCCGCGCCCACCCCCCCCGCCGAGCCCUCGCCCGAGUUGGCCGAGAUGUAAACGAUGACGCCGACGAUGUUGGACAGGCCUGGCAGCGAAGGGGUUAAAUGGCUCGUUAAUGGGGGGGGAAAUUAAUUAAAGAGGUAAAAAAUGGGAGAAAUUAAAAAAAUCGGGGGAAAUGUAAAGGAAAUGGUUAAAAAAGGGGAAUGAUGGAAAGGAUGGCGGCGGCGAUGUUGGACAGGCCUGGCAGCGAAGGGGUUAAAUGAUUCGUUAAUGGGGGGGGAAAUUAAUUAAAGAGGUAAAAAUGGGGAGAAAUUAAAAAAAUCGGGGGAAAAUGUAAAGGAAAUUAUUAAAAAAGGGGAAUGAUGGAAAGGAUGGCGGCGGCGAUGUUGGACAGGCCUGGCAGCGAAGGGGUUAAAUGAUUCGUUAAUGGGGGGGAAAAAAUGGGGGGAAAUUAAAAAUUUGAAAUUAAAAAUAUAUGGGGGGAAAAGAUUUUUUAAUGGGGGAAAAUUAAAAAAAAGGGAUGAAUUUUGGGAUGGAUUUUGGGGGUUUUGGGAUGGGUUUUGGGAUGGAUUUUUUUGUGGAUUUUGAAGUUUUUUGGGAUGGAUUUUUGGAUGGAUUUUGGGUGGAUUUCGGGGUUUUUGGGAUGGUUUUUGGAUGGAUUUCAGGAUGGAUUUUGGGAUGGAUUUUUUAUGGAUUUUGAUGGUUUUUGGGAUGGAUUUUCGGGGUUUUUGGGAUGGAUUUGGGGCGGAUUUGGGGGUCAUACCCGCGGCCACGAAGAGGAUGCCGGGAUGGAUAUUGGGAUGGAUUUUGGGGAUUUUGGGAUGGAUUUUGGGGCGGAUUUGGGGUUCAUACCCGCGGCCACGAAGAGGAUGCCGGGAUGGAUUUUGGGAUGGAUUUUGGGAUGGAUUUUGGGAUGGAUUUUGGGGAUUUUGGGAUGGAUUUUCGGGGUUUUUGGGAUGGAUUUCGGGGAUUUUGGGGUGGAUUUGGGGUUCAUACCCGCGGCCACGAAGAGGAUACCGGGAUGGAUUUUGGGAUGGAUUUUGGGAUGGAUUUUGGGAUGGAUUUUUUAUGGAUUUUGGGAUGGAUUUUCGGGGUUUUUGGGAUGGAUUUCGGGGAUUUUGGGGCGGAUUUGGGGGUCAUACCCGCGGCCACAAAGAGGAUGCCGGGAUGGAUUUUGGGAUGGAUUUUGGGAUGGAUUUUGGGAUGGAUUUUGGGGUGGAUUUCAGGGAUUUUGGGGUGGAUUUGGGGGUCAUACCCGCGGCCACGAAGAGGAUGCCGGGAUGGAUUUGGGAUGGAUUUUGGGGUGGAUUUCGGGGAUUUUGGGGCGGAUUUGGGGGUCAUACCGGCGGCCACGAAGAGGAUGCCGGCGCCGAGCACGAGGCUGGUCCUGGCCCGCCGCAGGCGCGAGGCGGCCACGCAGAGCCCCCCCAGCAGCAGCAG
RNAcentral lists this long non-coding RNA (1455 nucleotides) under Lonchura striata (white-rumped munia). RNAcentral describes it as "domestica (Bengalese finch) lncRNA (ENSLSDG00000011241.1)". Lineage: Eukaryota; Metazoa; Chordata; Aves; Passeriformes; Estrildidae. The record is from RNAcentral.